Molecule: ribosomal RNA, 254 nt
Filed under: uncultured bacterium
Lineage: Bacteria
Description: partial 16S ribosomal RNA
Rfam family: Bacterial small subunit ribosomal RNA
Source: RNAcentral
UACGUAGGGCCCAAGCGUUGUCCGGAUUUAUUGGGCGUAAAGAGCUCGUAGGCGGCUCAGUAAGUCGGAUGUGAAAACUCGGGGCUCAACCCCGAGACGCCAUCCGAUACUGCUGUGGCUUGAGUCUGGUAGGGGAACACGGAAUUCCUGGUGUAGCGGUGAAAUGCGCAGAUAUCAGGAGGAACACCGGUGGCGAAGGCGGGUCUCUGGGCCGAAAUUGACGCUGAGGAGCGAAAGCGUGGGGAGCAAACAGG